RNAcentral lists this long non-coding RNA (4035 nucleotides) under Lupinus angustifolius (narrow-leaved blue lupine). RNAcentral describes it as "long non-coding RNA (LANG_LNC001707)". The record is from RNAcentral. Lineage: Eukaryota; Viridiplantae; Streptophyta; Magnoliopsida; Fabales; Fabaceae.
UUGAAACUAACGGAAUCUGAUGCUUGUGAAUUCAAAAGCCUAGAAACGUCGUAGGUAUAAUGAUCUGAAAUUGCAGAAUUACCGAAUUCCUGCAAUUCAGUAUUAACGACGUCGUAAUUGGAAUUAUGGGCAUUAGGUUUAACGAUAUCGCCUUGAUUAUCGAUAAUCGGCGAAAUUGAAUCGCCGUUAGGGCUACAAACAUCGGGGAAGAGAAAAUCCUCAGCGACAUCAUCGAACGUGAUUUCGAAAUCAUCAGUAUCGCAGAAAUCCAUAGCGAAAUCGAGAUCUGAGGCGAAGGUAUCAGUGGGUAAAGCGUUAUCAUCGAAGAGCGAGUCCAUGGAGGGGAAAGGGAAGUUGCUGAAUUGGGCGGCGAAAUCGUCGAAGCAGAGAUCGGAAGAAUUUGACGGCGGCUCCGGCGGCGGUUGUGGUUGUGCGGCGAGGAUUGGGUCAGGCAUUGGGUGAAAUUAGGGUUAUGGAGAAUGGAAAGAGAAUGAAGGAAGAAAGGUUUCAACGAAGAAGAAGACUCUAGAGUUUGGGUUUUAUGGAAUUUGAGGUUUGCUAUUUUAAGAUUCUCGCGCGUGGAAUCACGACACGUGAAAACUGGGUGCAAGGUUAUUGAUUUCAUAAGUCAAUGUUUUUAUGAGAAAAUGAGAAAACAAUAUUUUAUGUAUCUUACAUUUAAUUAUAUAUUAAGUUUAUAGACACAAUUUAGAACUUAAUAAAUGAUAUAGAAAUUGAGCAUAAUUUGAUUAAAUGACUAUAUCAAAUAUUCAUAAUUAAUUUCUCAUCAUAAGUUCUGAAUAAUUAAUAAGAAAGGGUAAUACAUUGAAAAUUAGAGAAAUAAUAGCUUUAUCACGAUUCCGCACCUGUAUCGAAAAAAUUAAGAAGAGAGUAUAUAUUGGAAAAUAAAAAAAAUAGAGAAGUAGUUAAGAGUGAUUAAUAAAUCUAUCUAUUACCUAUAUAACAAAAAAAUGUCCCUCAUGACAUAUGUCAAUCUCCCAAGUCCUCAUGACAUGUGUCAAUCUCUCAAGCCCUCAUGACAUGGACAUGUGUCAAUCUCUCAAGCCAUCAUGACAUGUGUCAAUCUCUCGUCAAAACUAAAUGUCCAUCAUCAACAUUCCCUCGAAAACAUGUCAAUAUUUCAUUUUUGUUCAUUGUACAAUUUAAUUCUAAUGAUUAAUGGACUCAUAUGUUUUUUAUUCCAUGAAGAAAUUACAUCUCAUAAUAAAGGGGUUGAAUCUCUUUUCACAUGUGAAUUACUUCUCCAUCAUUAUCAUUUCAUAUCUCCAUAUUCUUCUCCUCCUUUCAUUUCAUAUUUCUCUUUUCUUCUCUCACCUAUAUAACAAAAAAAGGUCCCUCAUGACAUGUGUCAAUAUCCCAAACCCUCAUGACAUAUGUCAAUCUCUCAAGCCCUCAUUACAUGUGUCAAUCUCUCAAGUCCCCAUAACAUGUGUCAAUCUCUCAUCAAAAAUAAAUGUCUGUCAUCAACAUUCCCUCCAAAACAUGUCAAUAUUCCAUUUUUGUUCAUUGUACAAUUUAAUUCUAAUGAUUAAUGGACUCAUAUGUUUUUUAUUCCAUGAAGAAAUUACAUCUCAUAAUAAAGGGGUUGAAUCUCUUUUCACAUGUGAAUUACUUCUCCAUCAUUAUCAUUUCAUAUCUCCAUAUUCUUCUCCUCGUUUCAUUUCAUAUUUCUCUUUUCUUCUCUCACUAUUUGACAUAACUUAGACAAAUAUGCAACACAACAAAAGUUAAGCAGCAAUUAAUAUGUCCGAAUGUGAUGCUAGAACUUGAGCAUGAUUGAAAGAGGUGAACAAAAUGAAGAUAUUUCUUCAGUUCUUGUAUUUAGCACAGCACAAUUUAGAUUAUGGCAUAAGAAAAACUUUUCUCAAGUACAAUAGUUAGGCCAAAAAGCAUCAAUUGGUGGGCUAUUACAUUAAAUUAAGUACUUCUAAAACCAAGAUCAAACUAAUCUGACACUCCAAAGGAGUCCAAGUUGUAUCUUAACCAAAUUUGGAAGACCUAUGUAGCAAAAGGAACUUACUGCAAAAAUAUUUACGAGAUACAAGUUCAUAAUUAGCAGACAGCAAGAUAAUUUUGUUGUCAAGAGAUAACCAAGGAGCAUCCAAAGCAAAUACAAGACAUGUUAGCUUAAUCAGCAUCUCCAAGAAAAGUUCAACACAAUUGACAGCCUUAGUUCUAAACAUGUUAUAUGUGCUACUAAAUUCAGAUUAAACAGCAACCAUGACGACAUAACAUAAUUCAAAAGAACACGACACAUCAUUCCUGCAUUGCUUUAAAGAGCAAAAGUCGGAAGGAAAGACUGAUAAUCACCUGCAACGCCUUCACGGAACCACUGUUGCAUUUUACCAUCAGUUGCACUGGACUUCAUAUGGUCCUUCAAAGUUUUGGUUGAACCAGAGCCAAGAGCCUUCCUCUGUUCAUGUGAAACCCUAUACAUGUGAGGAUGUUGACCACUAUUUCUUCCAGCUUCAGGAAUAGCCAAUGCAGAAUUCGGAAUGGCCAAACCAGUCUCUCUCUUGUCCUUCUUCACCUGAGACUCCAUUUGAGAUGCCAUAGUUUUCUCACUGGCCAUGAUGGAAUGGAUUAUCAAGUUUCCAUCAAUCUUCACCAGCUUAUCAUUCCUAGGAACAUACAAAGAAGCAACAAGAGGCUCACUAGCAUUGCCGCCCGGACGAACAGAUUCAUCCGAAUGCAGGUCAUGCCGUUCAUUUGACUCUUCUAGCUUCCUUCGCCUCUCAUAAUUCCUUUUAUCAGAAAUACUAAACCUUCCAUCAGAAAAUCCUACAUCCUCAUCCCUUUCAGAUUCAUUCCUAUGACCACCAUUUACAGGCCAAACCUUUCCUCCACCCUGGCCAUACACCCACCUAUCACUUACAUAGCUAGACCUACCAGUUAGAUUGUUCACUAAACCUCCAAACUUAACAUCCACCAUAGGAACAAGACCACCAAAAAGCAUGAUAAAGAAAAACAAACCCAACAAACUAAUGCUAGCAACCUUCUUAGUUUUCACCUCACUCUUCUUACCCACUGACUUCUUACUCUUUGGCGCCGCCGCAGGUUGCUGAGGCCUCAAUCGAGGAAUAGGAAUAAGCGGAACCUGAGACCCUUGAGGCUUGACAACAUAGGGAGCACAAGGCAUCCAAGGAUAAGGCAUGGGAGCCAUAGGGGGAUGAGGGUACAUCCCAGCACCAGCACCCAAUUGCUGCCUUAGAGUAGCAUUCUCAGCCAUAACAAAUGAGAUCUUGCUACUCAAAUCAGCAAUGGUUGAAUUCAUUGCCUUCACCUUCUCCUCAAGCUCCUCCACAUAAUGCUUCUUCCUCUGCCUAGAAAGGUGUGCACUUUCCCUAUUCCUCAUCAACCUUGCCUUCCUUUUGUCUUCCUCAUCAUCAAUACCAUUCACAUUAUCACCGGAAUCAAUUUUUUGGGUCUUGUUCUCCACAUGCACAAAUGAUGAUUUCCUACUCUUGGUAAUUCUAGUUUCAGCACUUUCUUCACUUUGUUCUUUCUUCCUCUUCAGAUCACAACCCUUUCCAUUUUCUUCCACUUUUAUACCCUUAUCAGCAUUUGCAUGAGAUGAAAUGUCUAUGUAACGAUCAGAAUCAGAUGUGGGCGAGUUCAUGGCUUCAUAUCCCGACCCAAUAUUUCCCGAACCCUGAGAAGAAACGGGUCCAUUCGAAUACUCUUCUUCAGAAUCUGUUGACUGCAUGCUCGAAACUUUAACAUCAACAGAAUUCAGAGAACCUUGAUUACCAGUAGAAUUAUCUGCUGGAGAAAGCUCCUUCUUGAAACUAACGGAAUCUGAUGCUUGUGAAUUCAAAAGCCUAGAAACGUCGUAGGUAUAAUGAUCUGAAAUUGCAGAAUUACCGAAUUCCUGCAAUUCAGUAUUAACGACGUCGUAAUUGGAAUUAUGGGCAUUAGGUUUAACGAUAUCGCCUUGAUUAUCGAUAAUCGGCGAAAUUGAAUCGCCGUUAGGGCUACAAACAUCGGGGAAGAGAAAAUCCUCAGCGACAUCAU